GACGAACGCUGGCGGCGUGCUUAACACAUGCAAGUCGAACGGAAAGGCCCUGCUUUUGUGGGGUGCUCGAGUGGCGAACGGGUGAGUAACACGUGAGUAACCUGCCCUUGACUUUGGGAUAACUUCAGGAAACUGGGGCUAAUACCGGAUAGGAGCUCCUGCUGCAUGGUGGGGGUUGGAAAGUUUCGGCGGUUGGGGAUGGACUCGCGGCUUAUCAGCUUGUUGGUGGGGUAGUGGCUUACCAAGGCUUUGACGGGUAGCCGGCCUGAGAGGGUGACCGGCCACAUUGGGACUGAGAUACGGCCCAGACUCCUACGGGAGGCAGCAGUGGGGAAUAUUGCACAAUGGGCGGAAGCCUGAUGCAGCAACGCCGCGUGCGGGAUGACGGCCUUCGGGUUGUAAACCGCUUUCGCCUGUGACGAAGCGUGAGUGACGGUAAUGGGUAAAGAAGCACCGGCUAACUACGUGCCAGCAGCCGCGGUGAUACGUAGGGUGCGAGCGUUGUCCGGAUUUAUUGGGCGUAAAGGGCUCGUAGGUGGUUGAUCGCGUCGGAAGUGUAAUCUUGGGGCUUAACCCUGAGCGUGCUUUCGAUACGGGUUGACUUGAGGAAGGUAGGGGAGAAUGGAAUUCCUGGUGGAGCGGUGGAAUGCGCAGAUAUCAGGAGGAACACCAGUGGCGAAGGCGGUUCUCUGGGCCUUUCCUGACGCUGAGGAGCGAAAGCGUGGGGAGCGAACAGGCUUAGAUACCCUGGUAGUCCACGCUGUAAACGGUGGGUACUAGGUGUGGGGUCCAUUCCACGGGUUCCGCGCCGUAGCUAACGCUUUAAGUACCCCGCCUGGGGAGUACGGCCGCAAGGCUAAAACUCAAAGGAAUUGACGGGGCCCGCACAAGCGGCGGAGCAUGCGGAUUAAUUCGAUGCAACGCGUAGAACCUUACCUGGGUUUGACAUGGAUCGGGAGUGCUCAGAGAUGGGUGUGCCUCUUUUGGGGUCGGUUCACAGGUGGUGCAUGGCUGUCGUCAGCUCGUGUCGUGAGAUGUUGGGUUAAGUCCCGCAACGAGCGCAACCCUUGUUCACUGUUGCCAGCACGUUAUGGUGGGGACUCAGUGGAGACCGCCGGGGUCAACUCGGAGGAAGGUGGGGAUGACGUCAAGUCAUCAUGCCCCUUAUGUCCAGGGCUUCACGCAUGCUACAAUGGCUGGUACAGAGAGUGGCGAGCCUGUGAGGGUGAGCGAAUCUCGGAAAGCCGGUCUCAGUUCGGAUUGGGGUCUGCAACUCGACCUCAUGAAGUCGGAGUCGCUAGUAAUCGCAGAUCAGCAACGCUGCGGUGAAUACGUUCCCGGG
Molecule: ribosomal RNA, 1342 nt
Filed under: uncultured bacterium
Lineage: Bacteria
Description: 16S ribosomal RNA
Rfam family: Bacterial small subunit ribosomal RNA
Source: RNAcentral